UUGGAUUCAAUUUUUAUUUAAUUAAAAAAAAAAACUUGGGAAAUGAGUUUAGCUAGCUUAAGCUAUUCCAUGGCUGCUUAUGAAUCUUGUAUAUGCUAAAGCUUAUAAAUUUGUACCAUGCCAUAAACAGUGUAUAGCCCAAUUUUGCCCACAACCCAAAAUUUCAGACCCAACUACCAGCCCAAUAACAAACCCAUUUCCAGCAGCCCAAAACAAAAAAAAAAAUCUACCCUCUAUUGCACCUAACCCUAGACUGCCGCCGCACUAGCCUCUGCCGAAGUUGGCCACUUGCUCUGCCACCGCCGCACGUCCCACGUCGCCCACUUGUGCCAUCAAAUCACCUGCAAACAAUAAAGAAAAACCACAACAGCAAGCAACAAGGGGCUUUGUUUUUUAUUUUAUUUUCGGUAUAAAAACCAAUGAAAAACAUAUUGUAAAAAGGGGGGCGGAUCUUUAUGUUUGUAAAAAGGGAGGAUUUCCUUUUGAAAAAGCAAAAAACAAAGAGAAAUAAAAACAGAGAAAAGGUUUUAGUUCCCAUUUGUUCAUUGUUAUUUUUUUUAUUUUUUUUAUUUUGAUUUGUGUAAAAUAUAUAUGUAUAUACGCAUAUAGAAAAAAAAGAAGGAAAAAAAGUACCUUUUUUAUUUUUUCGGCCACCGUAGCGCGGCGGCGACGUGGCGGCCCUGUUCGUCGAUUUCUGGGAUCUGGUCGGAUGCUUGAGAGGGAAAAAGGAAGGUUUUUGAGUUUUUUUUUAAAGAA
RNAcentral lists this long non-coding RNA (756 nucleotides) under Gossypium barbadense (sea-island cotton). Its description in RNAcentral is "long non-coding RNA (GBAR_LNC016790)". Lineage: Eukaryota; Viridiplantae; Streptophyta; Magnoliopsida; Malvales; Malvaceae. The record is from RNAcentral.